GGGGGGGGGGGGGGGGGGGGGGGGCGCGUGGGGGUCGGGCGGUGGCAGGCCGCCAGGUGCUGCCGAGUGGCGCACGGGUGCGGAAUUCCUCGUGACGUGCCCCGUCGUUGUGGCUACCUCCUCGACAGCGUCGCUACUACCGCCUACGCUCUCUGUCUGACAGCGGGGGCCCGUGAGGCCUCGCUCGAUUGUAGCCGCCGCUGUCAGCUUCGGUCGUUGGUGGGGUAAAUGCCCACCAAGCCAACGCGCUGUCACUGGUCUGAGGGGACGACCAGCCACACUGGGACUGAGACACGGCCCAGACUCCUACGGGAGGCAGCAGUGGGGAAUUUUGGACAAUGGGCGCAAGCCUGAUACAGCAAUGCCGCGUGCAGGAAGAAGGCCUUCGGGUUGUAAACUGCUUUUGUACGGAACGAAACGGCUCUGGUUAAUACCCGGGGCUAAUGACGGUACCGUAAGAAUAAGCACCGGCUAACUACGUG
This 482-nucleotide ribosomal RNA is filed under the name uncultured bacterium. RNAcentral's name for it is "partial 16S ribosomal RNA". It matches the Rfam family "Bacterial small subunit ribosomal RNA", at positions 39 to 507 of the family's 1533-position model. The record is from RNAcentral.